Molecule: ribosomal RNA, 592 nt
Filed under: uncultured bacterium
Lineage: Bacteria
Description: bacterial SSU rRNA
Rfam family: Bacterial small subunit ribosomal RNA
Source: RNAcentral
UACACGUGUGUGAAGAAGCAUGAGGGUAUAAAGCACUUCAAUAGGAAGGAAUACCUAUCGGUUAAUACCCGGUAGACUGACAUUACCUAUACAAGAAGCACCGGCUAACUCCGUGCCAGCAGCCGCGGUAAUACGGAGGGUGCAAGCGUUAAUCGGAAUUACUGGGCGUAAAGCGUGCGUAGGCGGUUAUUUAAGUCAGAUGUGAAAGCCCCGGGCUUAACCUGGGAACUGCAUUUGAUACUGGAUAACUAGAGUUUAGUAGAGGGGAGUGGAAUUUCAGGUGUAGCGGUGAAAUGCGUAGAGAUCUGAAGGAACACCAGUGGCGAAGGCGGCUCCCUGGACUAAAACUGACGCUGAGGUACGAAAGCGUGGGUAGCAAACAGGAUUAGAUACCCUGGUAGUCCACGCCGUAAACGAUGUCAACUAACCGUUGGGUUCUUUAAGAACUUAGUGGUGGAGCUAACGUAUUAAGUUGACCGCCUGGGGAGUACGGCCGCAAGGCUAAAACUCAAAUGAAUUGACGGGGGCCCGCACAAGCGGUGGAGCAUGUGGUUUAAUUCGAUGCAACGCGAAGAACCUUACCUACCCUUGA